UGGUUCUGGCAUCGAUGAAGAACGCAGCGAAACGCGAUAAGUAAUGUGAAUUGCAGAUUUCAGUGAAUCAUCGAAUCUUUGAACGCACAUUGCGCUCGUUAGUAUUCUGACGAGCAUGCCUGUUCGAGCGUCAUUUCAAACUCAGCAUAAGCUGGUGUUGGAGAUUUAUAUCUUAGGAUAUACUCUCCCAAUUACAGUGGCGGAUUCUCUUGAUUCCGGGUGUAGUAACAUACAAGCCUUGGAUAAUUGAGAUUCUUGCCGUAAACCUGACAGUUUCUGUCAUAUUACAUGUUUGACCUCGGAUCAGGUAGGAAUACCCGCUGA
Molecule: unclassified non-coding RNA, 324 nt
Filed under: uncultured fungus
Lineage: Eukaryota; Fungi
Description: partial contains 5.8S ribosomal RNA and internal transcribed spacer 2
Rfam family: 5.8S ribosomal RNA (bases 1-133)
Source: RNAcentral